GAAUGCUGACAUAAGUAACGAUAAAGCGGGUGAAAAGCCCGCUCGCCGGAAGACCAAGGGUUCCUGUCCAACGUUAAUCGGGGCAGGGUGAGUCGACCCCUAAGGCGAGGCCGAAAGGCGUAGUCGAUGGGAAACGGGUUAAUAUUCCCGUACUUGGUGUUACUGCGAAGGGGGGACGGAGAAGGCUAUGUUGGCCGGGCGACGGUUGUCCCGGUUUAAGCGUGUAGGUGUGUGUUCCAGGUAAAUCCGGUUCACUUUAACACUGAGGCGUGACGACGAGGCACUACGGUGCUGAAGCAACAAAUGCCCUGCUUCCAGGAAAAGCCUCUAAGCAUCAGGUAACAUCAAAUCGUACCCCAAACCGACACAGGUGGUCAGGUAGAGAAUACCAAGGCGCUUGAGAGAACUCGGGUGAAGGAACUAGGCAAAAUGGUGCCGUAACUUCGGGAGAAGGCACGCUGACACGUAGGUGAAGUGAUUUACUCAUGGAGCUGAAGUCAGUCGAAGAUACCAGCUGGCUGCAACUGUUUAUUAAAAACACAGCACUGUGCAAACACGAAAGUGGACGUAUACGGUGUGACGCCUGCCCGGUGCCGGAAGGUUAAUUGAUGGGGUCAGCGCAAGCGAAGCUCCUGAUCGAAGCCCCGGUAAACGGCGGCCGUAACUAUAACGGUCCUAAGGUAGCGAAAUUCCUUGUCGGGUAAGUUCCGACCUGCACGAAUGGCGUAAUGAUGGCCAGGCUGUCUCCACCCGAGACUCAGUGAAAUUGAACUCGCUGUGAAGAUGCAGUGUACCCGCGGCAAGACGGAAAGACCCCGUGAACCUUUACUAUAGCUUGACACUGAACAUUGAGCCUUGAUGUGUAGGAUAGGUGGGAGGCUUUGAAGUGUGGACGCCAGUCUGCAUGGAGCCGACCUUGAAAUACCACCCUUUAAUGUUUGAUGUUCUAACGUGGACCCGUUACCCGGGUUGCGGACAGUGUCUGGUGGGUAGUUUGACUGGGGCGGUCUCCUCCUAAAGAGUAACGGAGGAGCACGAAGGUUGGCUAAUCCUGGUCGGACAUCAGGAGGUUAGUGCAAUGGCAUAAGCCAGCUUGACUGCGAGCGUGACGGCGCGAGCAGGUGCGAAAGCAGGUCAUAGUGAUCCGGUGGUUCUGAAUGGAAGGGCCAUCGCUCAACGGAUAAAAGGUACUCCGGGGAUAACAGGCUGAUACCGCCCAAGAGUUCAUAUCGACGGCGGUGUUUGGCACCUCGAUGUCGGCUCAUCACAUCCUGGGGCUGAAGUAGGUCCCAAGGGUAUGGCUGUUCGCCAUUUAAAGUGGUACGCGAGCUGGGUUUAGAACGUCGUGAGACAGUUCGGUCCCUAUCUGCCGUGGGCGCUGGAGAACUGAGGGGGGCUGCUCCUAGUACGAGAGGACCGGAGUGGACGCAUCACUGGUGUUCGGGUUGUCAUGCCAAUGGCACUGCCCGGUAGCUAAAUGCGGAAGAGAUAAGUGCUGAAAGCAUCUAAGCACGAAACUUGCCCCGAGAUGAGUUCUCCCUGAGACUUAAAGUCUCCUGAAGGAACGUUGAAG
This 1573-nucleotide ribosomal RNA is filed under the name Salmonella enterica subsp. enterica serovar Enteritidis. RNAcentral's name for it is "partial 23S ribosomal RNA". It matches the Rfam family "Bacterial large subunit ribosomal RNA", at positions 1292 to 2843 of the family's 2925-position model. The record is from RNAcentral. Lineage: Bacteria; Pseudomonadati; Pseudomonadota; Gammaproteobacteria; Enterobacterales; Enterobacteriaceae.